CAGCAGCCGCCGCGGGAAUACGGAGGGUGCAAGCGUUAAUCGGAAUUACUGGGCGUAAAGCGCACGCAGGCGGUUUGUUAAGUCAGAUGUGAAAUCCCCGGGCUCAACCUGGGAACUGCAUUUGAAACUGGCAAGCUAGAGUCUCGUAGAGGGGGGUAGAAUUCCAGGUGUAGCGGUGAAAUGCGUAGAGAUCUGGAGGAAUACCGGUGGCGAAGGCGGCCCCCUGGACGAAGACUGACGCUCAGGUGCGAAAGCGUGGGGAGCAAACAGGAUUAGAUACCCCAGUAGUCCCUGUCUCUUAUAC
RNAcentral lists this ribosomal RNA (304 nucleotides) under uncultured bacterium. RNAcentral describes it as "partial 16S ribosomal RNA". It matches the Rfam family "Bacterial small subunit ribosomal RNA", at positions 506 to 807 of the family's 1533-position model. The record is from RNAcentral.